This 126-nucleotide non-coding RNA is filed under the name Nomascus leucogenys (northern white-cheeked gibbon). Lineage: Eukaryota; Metazoa; Chordata; Mammalia; Primates; Hylobatidae. The record is from Rfam by way of RNAcentral.
GCUGGGUGUGGUGGCGCGCACCUGUAAUCCCAGCUACUCGGGAGGCUGAGGCAGGAGAAUCGCUUGAACCCAGGAUGCGAAGGUUGCAGUGAGCAGCCUGGGUAACAGAAUGAGACUCUGUCUCAA